RNAcentral lists this ribosomal RNA (245 nucleotides) under uncultured Lactobacillus sp. Its description in RNAcentral is "partial 16S ribosomal RNA". It matches the Rfam family "Bacterial small subunit ribosomal RNA", at positions 116 to 354 of the family's 1533-position model. The record is from RNAcentral. Lineage: Bacteria; Bacillati; Bacillota; Bacilli; Lactobacillales; Lactobacillaceae.
CGUGGGUAACCUGCCCAAGAGAUCGGGAUAACACCUGGAAACAGAUGCUAAUACCGGAUAACAACAGAUGAUGCCUAUCAACUGUUUAAAAGAUGGUUCUGCUAUCACUCUUGGAUGGACCUGCGGUGCAUUAGCUAGUUGGUAGGGUAACGGCCUACCAAGGCGAUGAUGCAUAGCCAGUUGAGAGACUGAUCGGCCACAUUGGGACUGAGACACGGCCCAAACUCCUACGGGAGGCAGCAGGG